CGGGAAGAGCUCAAAUUUAAAAUCUGGCGUGCCUCUGGUCGUCCGAAUUGUAGUCUGAAGAAGCGUCUAUCACGUUUUCGUUCGGGUUCAAGUUCCUUGGAAUAGGACAUCAGAGAGGGUGAGAAUCCCGU
RNAcentral lists this ribosomal RNA (131 nucleotides) under Archaeosporaceae sp. RNAcentral's name for it is "partial large subunit ribosomal RNA". Lineage: Eukaryota; Fungi; Glomeromycota; Glomeromycetes; Archaeosporales; Archaeosporaceae. The record is from RNAcentral.